This is a small nucleolar RNA of Misgurnus anguillicaudatus (oriental weatherfish), 133 nucleotides long. RefSeq annotates it as small nucleolar RNA SNORA14. NCBI's taxonomy places the organism in Eukaryota, Metazoa, Chordata, Actinopteri, Cypriniformes, Cobitidae. The record is from RefSeq and is a predicted model, not a curated record.
GUGCAUUCUUUAAACCCCCCUGUUGCUGCCUUGUAGCUUUUGGGACAAGUAAGAAUGCAAGAGAAACCAAGAACUAUCCAAAGUUAAGGGUCUUUUUGCAGUGACCUGUGACUAUUUCACCUCUUGGACAUUA